CAUCAUAUAAAAGCUAUAUAUUUCUCUAACCCUAAACCUAAAGACCCCAACCCAAACAGCGCUCCCUCUUCACGCGCCUCUGCCUGCCUCUAAACUCGCCGGAACUCGUCCAAACCCGGCGAGGUCACUCGGUGGUCCCCCCUCUCCUCUCAUUUCCUUCUUCCACGAUCACACACUCCGUAAAGCCUCAUCAUAUCCAUUAGACUCACGUGUUUUCCUUUCUUUUUCGUUCGAUUUGAAGCAAAUCCGAGACCCUUGAAUAAAUCUUGGAGAAAUAGGAACCGUUGGAUGAAGGUUUUUGUCCAAAGUCUCCAUUUUUCCAAUUUUUGUUGGUGAAAGGGGAUUUUUGAAUUUUAUUUUGAGGGCAAAUUCGGGUUUUGGGGUGUUUCUUGUUGAAGGAGGAGAGAAGUUUCGAGGGAGAGCUAUAUAUUUAAGGUUUUUGGACAGAAUUUUCGGACAGAAAAGAUAGAGGAAGAAUUAGGGUUCUUUCAGUUUCUUUUGAGAUUUUCUGUUUGGUUUUGCAUUCAAAAAAAAAAUACAAAAUAGUUUGAGUUCGAUUUUUGUUCAAGUAUCGUUCCAUUUCAAAAAUCAGAAAUUACCUCAAUAAAAUAUAUUUUAGUUUCUUCUUUUGAUCGUGUUGUUCAAAAAUGGACCUCGAUUGAAGUUUGGUUCUGAGUUCGCCCCCGAGGUCGAGUUUGCCGUUCGAGCUUUGUUUCUGGUUCGUUGCUCCUGGCGAUUUACUAUCAUUUAUUUCAAGUUUCAGUUACAGAAUCGGCUUGUAUUUGCAUCCCUCCGCGAAAUAUAUAUUGAAAGCAAUCUUGUCAUCUAAGGUUCAUUCUCCUUCCUCUUAUUUCUGUUUUGGUUUGGAUCAAAGUAUGAUAAGAGCCGGGAUUUAAAAAUGUUUAACAACUGCGUGAAUCUUUUCAAUAUUUUGAGCUCGUAUUUGCGUUUGAAUUUGCUUGUGAAUCUGCGAUGCACUUCCCUGGCAGUUUGAACCUUUGUUUUAUAUGUUUGGUUAAAAUUGAGUGUGAAACGAAAUGUAUAUUUGAGUCGAUUUGCUGAAGAUGUCCUCUGUUUUCCGUUGCCUCUGUUGGCCCUGUUGAAUAUUCAAGAGACAUAUUUUGAAUCACUGUUAAGCCUCAAUUGAUUUGAGUCCUUUUAAACGUGCCUUGAUUCUGUUUUUCGUCUCGUUUAUGUGUUGGGAUUAUGAAGGGAGUAUACUAGCUUGAGCAUCUAUAUUUUAGCAUGAGUUUUGAUGUUACCAGAUUGUCCAAAUAUUUCCUUGCCAUGACUCCUGAUUUUGUUAGCUUGCGAUAGUUUAUGCUUAUCUUGGGUAUCAAGGAUUUGUUGGUAUUCAUUAGUAAAGCUUGAAUAUGAUGGAAUUCUCACUUUAAAAGUUAACUUAGUUUUUUUGUGCUUACCCGUGAUUCUUACUAGCAUUCUGUCUGUUUCAGUAAAAUCGAGGGGGCAAUUAAGGGAAUGUUUUGAAUCCUCUGUUCAUUAUUCACUACGUUGUUUUGAUUCAUGAUUUUAAAGUAUGUCAUGUUCUGUUCGUUCCAUUCUUCUCUUAGCAGCCUGAAUAGUUGAUCAACUAUAUUGCUUUAAAGUCGAUUUUCCGGGAAUAAUAAAUGAGCUUCCUUGUUCUUGAGUGAUUUAGUUUCUUUCGCCAAGUCUAAGUUAUUUGCUCUUCGAAUUUUGUCAGUUCUUUAACCAUGGGUUCUCAUAUUAAGCACAUGAGACAUUGGACUUGAAUCAUCUCUGUAAUACUAGGUCGGUUUUCAUGUAUUGGUGACGAUAUUUUCAUGUCUUGUUUGUUCCUCUACCAUGAUUUGAAAUUGAUAUUAAUACUGCCAAAAAAUAUUUGGAUGGAUAACUUUAGACCUUUUGAGAGUUCUCUGUGUUUAGGUUGUAAAUGUGAUGAACAUAGGCUUAGUUUAAGUAAGGCGGCAGGUUCUGAUUUGAGUUGAUUUUCAUAUUCACAAAUUCAAGUUUGUUGGAGUAGGAUUUCAGUCAUGGCUCGUGCCACUUUAUUCUCUCAAACAUAUCUUCAUAUGUGAAUGGCCCCUUUGGAUUGUUCAAUGUUCUGCUAAUUUAGUAAUUGCGACAAGCAAAGAGGAUAAACUAGUAUUUAGUUGAAUCCGGUAUUGCAAGUGAGAUUGGGAAGGGGUUAGCUAUAUUUAGAAGGCUCUUAUCAUACUUUGAUCUGCUAUUUUGUUUCGUUUGUAUCAUGUUACUAUAUUUCUUUUCUUCUAUGUAAUUAGACGCUUAAUACUACUUGGCAUGAAUGGAUGAUUUGAAUGACUUUUUCUUGAAAGAUUGUUGGAUCGUGGGAGUGGGAGUGGGGAAUGAUCAAAGCCCAUUAUUAAUUAACCGUUCUCAUGUCUUAGGAUUGGGCUUGGUCAAAUACAUGAAAUAAGAAGUCAAAGGAAAAUGAGCAUGAUUUAGAAUUUGCCUUUACUUAGUUUUCUUUUAUUUAUUUUGCUAUAUUAACCUCUAGUAGCAUGCUUAGGCCGACCACAUUUGGGUAGGCAAACCUUUAAGAUGCUCGUGUUUUAGCUUUCUUUCUGAGGCGAGAGGUCCCCCUUAGUUAAAUUUAUCGGGGAAUGCCCCGAAGGAUUUGUAUAUAUUUUAUUCCGGGGUAUGUCCCGAAAUAUUUGUACUUGGAGGUCGAUAGCAGAACUCGUAAUAUUUUUUAUUUUUAUUUUCAUUUUUCUUUUAUUAGGUGGGGACGACCUCGAGCCUCGUGUAUGUGUGUUUAUUUUGCUUUUCUGUGCUUUCUACCUCAAAUGAAUAUGUUAAAAGCCAACUUGAUCAUGUACGCAACCGUACUAGUUACGGGACUGGGGGAGUGCCUAACACCUUCUCCCCGAGUCAAAUGAACCCUCUUACCCGAAUCUUUUGGUGCAUACUUAGUUUUGGAGUCCAAAGUGUUUUAAAAGAAAAAUCAUUUUUAAAACGGUGACCUGGCGCGCCGAAACCAAUGUCAAGUGGCGACUCUGAGUUAUUUCCUUUUGAACACCAUUUUUGUCACGUUCUAAUUGGAAAACCCUUUUUGAUCUUUACAAAUCUUUUUUUUUUAUAUUCUCUUAGAGGGUUUAGUGAAGUUUGUAAAAAAAAGGGUGUGACAUAUUUAUAUAUUUUUUAAUUAAUAUAAUUUAUGUAUUCAGAUGUAUUAUAUAAUUUCUCUGAAGAUUGCUAUAUUUUUGGGGUAUUUUUCAGUUGAGAAUCUUUUUUAUAACUGAAAAUACAAAAUUUGCGUGUUAUAAUUGAGUUUGUUGAGUUAUAUUAUGAGUCUAUUAUGUUAAUUGAUUCACUUUCCGUUUUAAAAAUAGUGUAAUCCCUUAUUUUACGCCAUAAAUACAUUCGAAUACAAUAAUCUGUCUAGGUGUAAUCCCAUGUUUCACUCCAUAAAUACAGCCGAAUACACUUGAAUACAACAACUGAUUAGCUGGACUUCCCUGAUUCACGCCUAUUUUUGCUAUUGUAUUCAUGAAUACAAUAGCUUAAGUACA
This 3512-nucleotide long non-coding RNA is filed under the name Nicotiana tabacum (common tobacco). Its description in RNAcentral is "long non-coding RNA (NTAB_LNC017505)". The record is from RNAcentral. Lineage: Eukaryota; Viridiplantae; Streptophyta; Magnoliopsida; Solanales; Solanaceae.